RNAcentral lists this ribosomal RNA (450 nucleotides) under uncultured bacterium. Its description in RNAcentral is "partial 16S ribosomal RNA". It matches the Rfam family "Bacterial small subunit ribosomal RNA", at positions 354 to 796 of the family's 1533-position model. The record is from RNAcentral.
GUGGGGAAUUUUGGACAAUGGGCGAAAGCCUGAUCCAGCAAUGCCGCGUGUGUGAAGAAGGCCUUCGGGUUGUAAAGCACUUUUGGCAGGGAAGAAACAGUGCGUGCUAAUACCAUGCGCGAAUGACGGUACCUGCAGAAUAAGCACCGGCUAACUACGUGCCAGCAGCCGCGGUAAUACGUAGGGUGCAAGCGUUAAUCGGAAUUACUGGGCGUAAAGCGUGCGCAGGCGGCUUUGUAAGACGGAUGUGAAAGCCCCGGGCUCAACCUGGGAAGUGCAUUGGUGCCUGCACGGAUAGGAUGUGUCAGAGGGAGGUGGAAUUCCGCGUGUAGCAGUGAAAUGCGUAGAGCUGCGGAGGAACACCGAUGGCGAAGGCAGCCUCCUGGGAUAACACUGACGCUCAGGCACGAAAGCGUGGGGAGCAAACAGGAUUAGAAACCCUUGUAGUCC